This 468-nucleotide ribosomal RNA is filed under the name uncultured bacterium. RNAcentral's name for it is "partial 16S ribosomal RNA". It matches the Rfam family "Bacterial small subunit ribosomal RNA", at positions 28 to 507 of the family's 1533-position model. The record is from RNAcentral.
GACGAACGCUGGCGGCGUGCUUAACACAUGCAAGUCGAACGGAAAGGCCCUGCUUUUGUGGGGUGCUCGAGUGGCGAACGGGUGAGUAACACGUGAGUAACCUGCCCUUGACUUUGGGAUAACUUCAGGAAACUGGGGCUAAUACCGGAUAGGAGCUCCUGCUGCAUGGUGGGGGUUGGAAAGUUUCGGCGGUUGUGGAUGGACUCGCGGCUUAUCAGCUUGUUGGUGAGGUAGUGGCUUACCAAGGCUUUGACGGGUAGCCGGCCUGAGAGGGUGACCGGGCACAUUGGGACUGAGAUACGGCCCAGACUCCUACGGGAGGCAGCAGUGGGGAAUAUUGCACAAUGGGCGGAAGCCUGAUGCAGCAACGCCGCGUGCGGGAUGACGGCCUUCGGGUUGUAAACCGCUUUCGCCUGAGACGAAGAGUGAGUGACGGUAAUGGGUAAAGAAGCAACGGCUAACUACGUG